Molecule: long non-coding RNA, 726 nt
Organism: Homo sapiens (human)
Lineage: Eukaryota; Metazoa; Chordata; Mammalia; Primates; Hominidae
Source: Ensembl
AGAAUUUUCUCUUCUAGGUUCAGAAGAGCCACAUUUUGCCGUUCCGACUCUAAAGCAACUACAUUUCUCUACAGAGCACAGAACUGUAUGUAAAUUCAUCCAUUGUAAAUCUAAUCUGCAAACAUGUAUUAGAUCAGUAUUUGGAGACAGAGAAGCCAACUGGUUCUUAACAUUACAUUGUAUAGCUUCUAUUAACAUGUAUCUCAGGGACUCAUUUGGGUGAUAUUUGCAUUGCCUAGGCUGUGGACAAACCACCAGGUAGCCUGAAAAGGACUUACUCUAGGGAAGAAACAGUGUGAAAAAUAGUGUGGGGGUAUACUUGUUGAAGUGUGAGUGAGGGAGGAUAGUGGAGGAAAGGAGAAAGGAGGCAUUGGUAGACUCAUUUAAGACAAAAAAUGGGCAUUUCGGUUUCUUAAAAGCCACUUUUUUUUCAAUUUAAAACUGUUUUGGGACUAAAGCCUCAGCCAUAUAAAUUAUUCUUACCAGGAAAAAAAUUCUCUGAAGGAAAAAAAAAGCUAAACAUGUAUCUUGGCAAGGGGUUUCAUAUUUGAAUUUAAAUUUAAAGAUAAAUUUGUUUUUAAGAAAGCAUAAAAAAGCAAUUUCAGAAAAAAAUCAGAAAAGCUUAGUUUUCUUUUUAUUAAAAAAGAAACACAGAGAAAUAAAUUGAUUUAGUUUCUUGUUAUGUUCCCUUGGAUAUGACAUAAAUUGAAAAUUGUAAUUAGAAAA